RNAcentral lists this ribosomal RNA (579 nucleotides) under Ceriporia viridans. RNAcentral's name for it is "eukaryotic LSU rRNA". It matches the Rfam family "Eukaryotic large subunit ribosomal RNA", at positions 66 to 648 of the family's 3401-position model. The record is from RNAcentral. Lineage: Eukaryota; Fungi; Basidiomycota; Agaricomycetes; Polyporales; Irpicaceae.
UAACAAGGAUUCCCCUAGUAACUGCGAGUGAAGCGGGAAAAGCUCAAAUUUAAAAUCUGGCGGUCUUUGGCUGUCCGAAUUGUAUUCUAAAGAAGCGUUUUCUGUGCUGGACCGUGUAUAAGUCUCUUGGAACAGAGUAUCAUAGAGGGUGAGAAUCCCGUCUUUGACAUGGACUACCAGUGCUAUGUGAUGCGCUCUCAAAGAGUCGAGUUGUUUGGGAAUGCAGCUCAAAAUGGGUGGUAAAUUCCAUCUAAAGCUAAAUAUUGGCGAGAGACCGAUAGCGAACAAGUACCGUGAGGGAAAGAUGAAAAGCACUUUGGAAAGAGAGUUAAACAGUACGUGAAAUUGCUGAAAGGGAAACGCUUGAAGUCAGUCGCGUUAGUCAGAACUCAGCCUUGCUUUUGCUUGGUGCACUUUCUGAUUGACGGGCCAGCAUCAGUUUUGAUUGUGGGAAAAAAGUUAGAGGAAUGUGGCAUCUUCGGGUGUGUUAUAGCCUUUGAUUGUAUACCAUGGUUGGGACUGAGGAUCUCAGCACGCGUAAGCUGUGCUAAGGAUGCUGGCAUAAUGGCUUUAAACGAC